GCGACUACGGGGCGGGCGGCGGGGGUAGUGGGUGGGGUCCGGGCGUUGUGCGGAUGGAGUGGGCUGAAAGGGCUCGUAGUCGGGUGGUGGGGUCAGGAGGGAAAACUCAGGGGGCAACCCUGGGCGUGCUUCCGAUACGGGCUGACUAGAGGUAUGCAGGGGAGAACGGAAUUCCUGGUGUAGCGGUGGAAUGCGCAGAUAUCAGGAGGAACACCGGUGGCGAAGGCGGUUCUCUGGGCAUUACCUGACGCUGAGGAGCGAAAGCAUGGGGAGCGAACAGGAUUAGAUACCCCGGUAGUC
Molecule: ribosomal RNA, 300 nt
Filed under: uncultured Coriobacterium sp.
Lineage: Bacteria; Bacillati; Actinomycetota; Coriobacteriia; Coriobacteriales; Coriobacteriaceae
Description: partial 16S ribosomal RNA
Rfam family: Bacterial small subunit ribosomal RNA (bases 60-300)
Source: RNAcentral